UACGAAGGGGGCUAGCGUUGCUCAGAAUUACUGGGCGUAAAGCGCACGUAGGCGGUUUCUUAAGUCGGGGGUGAAAUCCUGGAGCUCAACUCCAGAACUGCCUUCGAUACUGGGAAACUUGAGUCCGGGAGAGGUGAGUGGAACUGCGAGUGUAGAGGUGAAAUUCGUAGAUAUUCGCAAGAACACCAGUGGCGAAGGCGGCUCACUGGCCCGGUACUGACGCUGAGGUGCGAAAGCGUGGGGAGCGAACAGG
RNAcentral lists this ribosomal RNA (253 nucleotides) under uncultured bacterium. RNAcentral describes it as "partial 16S ribosomal RNA". It matches the Rfam family "Bacterial small subunit ribosomal RNA", at positions 524 to 776 of the family's 1533-position model. The record is from RNAcentral.